AGUUGAACUCGAGUUCACCUAAUAUUGGUGCCAUGACCGUUUCGGCAGCUACUAACUUCAUUUAUGGAUGGCUGUACUUUGUGAUUACCGGGGGAGCCGCGAGCGACUAGGUAGGACAGUUAUUUUCAGACCUAUAAAGUCUGGAAUAACCCGGCAGCCCGUGGGCCUCCCGGUCUCAUGCGCGAAAACAAAAACAAGAGUCCGGCCUUAAAAAGAGUGGAAGGGCUGGAACUCUCAUUAGAGGCAGCUUGUCCACAAACAAGGCACGUCUGCACCUUCAAGGACUGAAAAGGGGACACUUUGUGCUAAAGGGACUUUUGAACAGUUGCGGACAAAUUGUUAGGCCUGAAACACCCAUCAAGUGAGAAAUUAUGGAACCAACUUCAGAUCAUUUCAUCAGUAACGGUCGAGACAUGAAGUUUCAUUUUGCAAAACAAUUCAUCGUUGAAUUAUUGCCGGUUAUUGUCAUUUAAAAGGCAGUCAUUGCCCCCCAAAAAAAUGUUCUAAAAUAUUAUAUUUUGACACUUUUAUUCCCAAAAAGAUGCCUAUUCCAAUUUGGGAUCCAUAGAGUCCCUGUGACCGUGAAGAGGAUAAGCGGUGUUGAAAAUGGAUGUAUUGUGAAUGGAUUUUAAGUAUCUUGGUUUCUUGUUCACGAGUUAGGCCAGGAAGGACCAGAAGAUCAACAGGUCGUGAUGCGGACAUUGUAUCGUUCUGUCACGGUGCAGUUACCGGUCCAUCUACAUUCCCACCCUCAUCUACGGUCACGAGCUAUGGGUCACGACCAAAAGAACGAGAUCCCGGAUACAAGUCGGCGAACUGAGUUUCCUACACAGGCCUUAGAGACAAGCCUCCAAGACUCCGUUGUCAGUUCCAAAAUAAUGAUCCAGAGCAAACGUGGGCCGCGUGACAAAAGCCUGCAGCUCAAUCGACCGAGGUGUCAGAAUGGAGUCGCUUCAGAGCCAGUUUAACUACACCCUGCCCUCCCCCAUCAAAAGAUUUAACAGAAGGAAAUAAUUGGAGACUUUUGCAAUAGCCUGCCCACUGGAAGACCGGAGACUCUGAGAUACCUUCGACAGGACCACGGUGGCGACCUGGGACUCCUCGGCCUUCUCCAGGUGCUGCUGCCUAUCCCGGCUGACUUCGGGCAAACUACACCCUGAACUGGUCUUCAGCCAGUUGCAAGGUACAUAGAGAGGUAAGCGACCAUUCGCACCCUCAUCCACGCCGUCACUGAGAGGGAACCGACCCCACGCUGCCCUCACACAAGUCAGGCCCGAGUCCUGGACGAAAAGGAUGGAUAUGCACUAUG
This is a long non-coding RNA of Hippocampus zosterae (dwarf seahorse), 1309 nucleotides long. RefSeq lists it as uncharacterized. The transcript is spliced from 5 exons. The record is from RefSeq and is a predicted model, not a curated record. NCBI's taxonomy places the organism in Eukaryota, Metazoa, Chordata, Actinopteri, Syngnathiformes, Syngnathidae.